Mycena haematopus is the source of this 88-nucleotide non-coding RNA. The record is from the annotation of a GenBank genome assembly. NCBI's taxonomy places the organism in Eukaryota, Fungi, Basidiomycota, Agaricomycetes, Agaricales, Mycenaceae.
GGGUGCGUGGCGCAAUGGUAGCGCGUUUGACUUCGAUUGUCUUUCGGGUGCCAUCAAAAGGCUGCAGGUUCGAGUCCUGCCGUGCUCA